UGGACCUGAUAUCAACA
RNAcentral lists this ribosomal RNA (17 nucleotides) under Saprolegnia parasitica. RNAcentral describes it as "partial 28S ribosomal RNA". The record is from RNAcentral. Lineage: Eukaryota; Oomycota; Saprolegniomycetes; Saprolegniales; Saprolegniaceae.